ACUGUCAGCUGGAUCACAAAGGAGAAUUUCCCCCCGCAUAUCUGAUACUCUUUGGUCACUGAAGUUCAGCUACUUUUCCUUAUCUGGAAUCCUUCAGUGGCUAUUUAUUCCCUUCCACCUGUGACUAAAUGGACCUUUAAUCAAUUUGCAUCGUUUAGAAGCAAAGCUACUCUGGAAAGGAUGGUGUUCCUGUGCACUUAGCGCUGGUGGAGAUAUACUGCAGCCUUCCAGGGAGCCGCCGGGUUCAUAAUGGAAGGCAUGACAGGCACUUUAUGACCCUGAAGCGCUGUGAUUACAAGCUCUGAGCCUGUGUGAGGCAGGUAGGGAAGAUCCAUAUGUCAGGACAGCACAGCCAGGCCCCUCGUUGGAGCACUGCUAUCAUUUGGCUGGAAGCUGCAGAGCAGUUCCAAAGAACCAGCUCGGGACAGUAAAUGACUCCCACAGUCAAACUGAGCAUGCUCACCUCUCUGGUUGCCACACAUCGAUGUGCAGGCUGGUCCCUGGAUCCCCAACAGUUACGGCAGACUGUGAUAUGCAGAGGGAAGCAACACUUCUAGGGAAGAAUGUGGUCCAGACCACGUGGAGGUGGAAAUCACCAAGGCCUUGACUCCUCCUUCCCACUCAUUCUUCCAUGUCCUCACCUGUGAACUGGGAGAAUUCGGAACUGAAGUAAGUAAAGAUGGUGGAGUUCUUGAAGACAGCGGAAUCACUGGCCAGGAGGAACUCACUUCAGCGAUGGAGAGGACACUGAUGGAAACGGCACCCGGGCUCAGCGGCAGGCAGGAGAUGGCGAGGCAGGUCUGGAUGGAGUGGGCUUGACUGCCCACUCCCAGGGGCUCAGUCUCUGUCUCCUCACUGAUGUUUGACAUUUAUUUAAAAAUAGACAAAGCCUUCUGUUCUUCAAUCAGAGAUCAAAUUUAAAAUGCAAAUAUCCCCAGUGUUUAAAUUAACAUUAUGAUGCAAAUGCUUUGCGUCAAGUCCUUUACUUAAUGCAGGCUUUGAUAGAACAAUGAGCGGAAACACUGAAUGCAGGAAGAGAACAGAAAAGAAGUCUCCCUUUUAGGCCAACAAUGGAUUUUUUCCCUUUAUAAGCCUUGAUUACUUCUGUUUCAGAAUAAUAAUAAAUCAACAGAAUCAAAAAAGCAAUUUACACUUGUAGAUUGGGUUGUAGUCUACAAAAUAACUUCACCUCCAUUGCCUAGUUCAUUUCCCAGAACGAUGCUGUCAAGUAGACACAGUUCCCACUUGACUGGUAAAGAAAACCAGUUUCAUGGAGGCAAAGUGAGGACCUCAAGGUAUCACAGGUAGUGAAUAAUGGAAUCAGAUCUCAAAACUUGGUCAGAGGUCCAUUUAUUCAGCAAAUAAUCAUAAAGGACUGACUCUAGGCCAGACUUAUGCUAGGUGCUGGGGAUAAAAUGAUGGGUAAAACCCACACAGACUGUCCUUAUGGACCUUAGAUAUUAUUAAGGAGAUAAGUGCUAAUCAACUAAUGACAGAAAGAAAUGUAGCGUUACAGCUGUGAUGAGAGGAACGGAGGUGAUUACAAGAACUGACCCGGACAGAGCAGCCCGAGCGGAAGGGAGAGUUCUCCAGGGAGAGAGGCAGGGUGAAAGCUUCCAGGCAGAGGGAGCUCACACAAGCAAGAGCCAGCACAUG
This 1656-nucleotide long non-coding RNA is filed under the name Equus caballus (horse). Its description in RNAcentral is "lncRNA (ENSECAG00000046088.1)". The record is from RNAcentral. Lineage: Eukaryota; Metazoa; Chordata; Mammalia; Perissodactyla; Equidae.